This 287-nucleotide long non-coding RNA is filed under the name Elaeis guineensis (African oil palm). RNAcentral describes it as "long non-coding RNA (EGUI_LNC071724)". The record is from RNAcentral. Lineage: Eukaryota; Viridiplantae; Streptophyta; Magnoliopsida; Arecales; Arecaceae.
CUUCUAUUGUGGAUGAAUUUCUUUCGGAUUUCUAUUGUAGACAGGCCUUGGCCGAGAUUCCUCAACAAAUGAUCCCCAUCUGGGCUUCUACAGAGAUUGGACUCCGACCAAACUUCUAUAAGCAGACAAAUGUCGGGCUCACAGAAUCCAGUAGCUGGACCCCUCCAGCGGAUGAACCUCUCCAGCACCAUCCGACAUCCACCACCGGUCAACCCUCUGCCGAAGUCUGUGCGAAAUCAGGCUACAUCUGCGGAAAGCCUCUGACCGAGCUCCUACGGCAAGUGGUC